UUGUUUCAUUUCCAUAAAUAAUAUUGCAUCAUACUCUGUAUUCAACCAAACAUCAGGCUGAAAUUCAAUCAUCUAAAUAAAAAAAACCUCUUAAUGACUUGUCAGUUAGCACCGGCCUCGCUUGAACGAAAUCAUUCCCUUUGUGAUUUUUAUCAAGCCACAAGAUAACAUGGCAACAUUUGACAUCGAUGUAAUUCUCCAAUUCCCCUUAUCGUCAGUGGGCAUGCGCACAGAGCGAUCCAACACAGCAUCCAUCCAUCCAUCCAUCCAUCUUCUUCCAGCAGCUAAGCAGAGAAGCCCAGACUUCCCUUUCCAGCUCCUCCCUGAGAGAUACCAAUGGGUUCCCCGGCCAGGUGGGAGACAUAGUUGCUGUAAUGUUAAUUAUACUAUAAUCCUGUACUAAUCCAGAUUGCACAUUUGGCAGCAAUUUCAAACUAACGUGGAAAAUCUGUCAGUCAACUUGACAUGCUUAAUGAUGCCCUAAAUCAUUUCUGGAUAUAAAUCGGUCUCCAGAUAUUAAACUUUAGCUCUUUCUUUCUUUCUCUUUUUUUCUCUCUUUCUAGUCAGAUCCAUGAUGGCAUUCACUGGUUUUGUUAAAAUGCUUCUGUUGUUUUUGUCAAGGCGAAUGUUUGAUGCCUCCUCCUUGAUUAGAUUGUGCAAGUGUACCUAAUGUUGUGGUGGCCUUUGAUGGAUGACAGCACAAUGAUGGCGACAAUAUCCAUCCAUCACGCUAGUAUAUAUAUCGUGGCUACUUCCAGACCUGACUCUGAGGUGGGCAUUGCGGGAGUCGUUGCCGCCCACUGAGGUUACCCUGCAGGUGUACGUCCCAAUGUCUCCGGACCACGUCUGGGAGAUGUGAAGUGUCCCCUCAGAAUCCAGUCGCAGACGGGGAGACGUGUUCACGUCAAUCACAGCACCACUCUUUUCCCACACGUAGCUGGAAGGAAAAAAAAAACACAAAUAUUACAGCCUGUGAGGAUACGUGUAUUUGUAAUCAGAUUUUUUUUUUCAUCGUGCGGCCGCUGUGGUAUAGUGGUUAGCAUUCUGGACAUUCUGGCAAACGCCCUGGGUUCGAAUCUCCACAAGUAAGCAUCAUUGGUAUUCGUCAGGAAGGGCAUCCAGAAUAUAAAGUGCUCAAGACAAAAUCAGUAUGCGGAUCCGCUGUGACUCCGCAAUCAGUAAAAAGCCAAAAGAAACAAACAAAGCAAUUCCAAUACCAUAUAUGUAUCACCAGCUCACAAACACUUCCUCUUUGUCACUUGACUAGCGUAAGAUGCAUUCAAAGACACUCUGAGCAACAACAUGUUUAUUAGGUGAAUAUGCGUGGUCUAAAUGAUUAAUUAAUUUGAAAACUGUGAUUAAUUUCAUUAAUAUUGUAAAUCACUUGACAGCCCUAAUAAAUAAUACUUGAAACUGUUCAAACCUAUUUCUGUCUGCUAAAAAUUAACAUUCUAAACUAUUAGAUGUUAUUAUUAUUGUUUAAAUUUGUGAAGUUUAAAUUGGGAAUAUUAAGAAUUUUUUUUUCAAUGCUACAAUUUUUUUUUCAAACAAAGUCUGAAUAAAAAAGCAAAUAAAAUGACGAGAAUAACGAGAAAAUUGGAAUGACGAGAAUAAUAAUCUUGAAAAAGCCCUGAUAUAAGAAGUUGUGCAUUUCCAAGAAAUUGUAAAACGAACAAUUUUACAAUAUGACAAAUAUUUGUUAAAAAUACCCAACAUUUUUAUUAAUUUUAAGUAAGUAUUAAAGCUGUUUAACUCAAAACUCGGUUUUAUGUGUUUUAUUCCCUUACUGUCCCGUAAAUGAACCUCACAUAAUCUUAAAACCGAGUGACUUACCGAACCAUGAUUAUGGUCUAUCCUCAUCCGCAUCUUCCUCUCCUGUCACAGCCUCAGCGCGCACACCGGAGCGGCGAUGCAGCGAUUAAUUGUGACUGUUGGGGUUCUCCAGCUAAUCUCCUUGGCGCUGCGUUUAAUUAAAGGCGCCGUCUGAAGUUAUUACUCUGUUUACAUAUUCCACUGUUUACCCCGCCAUCCGAUCAAUGCAUGGGCCCACAGGUGACAGGCACUCUAAUCACCGAGCUCCGUAGACAACAUUUCAACCGCCUCUGAGACAGACACACACACACAUAUGAUAUGCAACCCUGUCUAUCUGACUGUAAGACUUGCAUCCCAGAGGAGGUCAUCAGAGGGUGGAUCGACGCUGAUGAGAUUUGUUGUAGAUUUCACAAACUCAUUAAAAGCAGCUGUGAUAGGCACAGACUGAAAAGUCACAAGAAAAUUGGUGAUGAAGUCUGAGGAAACUUUUUGUGUCAUUACCUGACGGUGACGCUGGGGUCGUGGGUCACCCCACAGGUCAUGACUGCUUUGGUGCCCUUGAUGACACUCUGGUCCUGGGGUGGCUUGGUGAUUCGGGUGCGUGCUGCAGACACGUACAAAGGAUAGGUGGGAACAGCAGACGAGGGGAUUAGACUACAGCUUUCACUCAAUGCUUUACAGCAGUGGUCUUCAAUUUAAAUUGAGGAAGGUCCAUUUAUGCAAGUUAAAGGUAAGUAAGGUCCAAACCUGUUUGGCACUGGAUUCUGGAAGAAUGAACAUAUAUUGGCUCGUCCAUUCACAAAAGAAUGGAACAAUGUUCUUACUAUUGAGCAAGCUAUGGUUCUUUUCACUCGGCAAGUGUCAUUUUGACUGACACCACUGUCACAUGACCGUAAUAACUGAACUACUUACACCUGCAAACCGCCGCUAUGAUUGGUCCAUGACUAUGAUUAUAUUAUUAUUAUAUGGUUCCGUAAAAGGCCAUCAUUGGGUCUGUCAUUUGGUGAUGGCUGCUUUAGUGAAUGUGUGACUGAGUCAUACUCAAAACUUCAUGAGGAAACUUUCAUGAGGAAAACGUCAUAUAAUAGAAAAGACUAAAAUCUUCCUGUUAUGAGAAAAACUUUUUCACAAAAUAAAAAGAUUUUCAUUUGUUUUUUUAUGUUUUAAUAUGAGUUAUAAUAUGAAAAUGAGCAUGAAAAAUAUGUUAUUUUAGAAGAAUAAAGUUGUAAUAUGAUAAAAAAAAAGUGUCAUUUUAAAAGAAUGAAGCUGUAAAGUAUGAAAUAAAGUUGUAAUAUUAUCCUAAAAAGUUUCUCCACUCACCCCACACCACAAGGUCUGCAGAUGCUUCAUCAAUACCCCUGGAGUUGCUCGCCAUGCAGGUGUAAGUGCCGGCAUCAGAGAGGUGUGAAGGACUGAUGAGCAGGCUGCCCGACUCUAGCAGCGUGAACCUAGGCAAUUGAACUGAGCCGCUGGCCAGGACACGCUCACCUGCGAGAUGGAUGGCAAAGUAAAAUAAAACAAAGAAAAAGUCAAUAAUGUCAGUCAUUCCGUUUGCCUUUUGCACCUUUCUGCCAGGUGAUGGCUGGUCGUGGGGCUCCAGACGUCUCGCAGUGCAGGAUGACUGACAUGCUGUCAAUCACGGCGCUGUCAGCUGGGCCGGCGGUGAUGUUGGGAGCAAUGCCUGACAGAACACAAUCAGGUGCAACAGAGCAGGCGAGAAACAAAGAGAGCCGACCUCGAGCCUGACAAGGGAUGUCCACCACCUUCUCCAUCUCCGCCGUGAUGUGACUUGGUGGCUCUUUUACGAACAGAGGAUAUUCUGGUUCAAGGAUGGGGAAGAAAAAGCAAACUGUGAGACAUUAACAACUUAAAAAGCUGGAAUGGCACUAUAAAUGUCCACACUAAACAAUAUAAUAUUAAUUCACCAAGUAAAGGCAAUGAAGUACUUUUUAAAAUAACAAUAUUUUUUUUAUUACAAUUUUGGCAGGAAAACAAUUUAUUUUACAGGAAGAGUUAAAUAAAUACAUUAAAAUAAAAUAAAAUACAUAAAACAUACAUAAAAUAUUAAAUAAUAAUUUAAAUGUAUGAAUUUAUUUAAAAAAUUGACUUCAAUUAAAGCCAUAAAUGUGUCAUUAAAUAUGUCAUAAAGUCAUCAAAAUACCAGUUAAUUGUAGGUGAAAACAUUUCAAUCAAUAAUCUAACUUUUUAAUUAUUUCAUGGACCUUUUUUGAAGCUGCGACAUACAUUUUUUUUUCCACUUUCAAAGUGAUCAAUGUCAGAGGGCGGGGUUAACACAAGUCCUGUCCAAUGGUUGCUUUGGUCUGAAGCCUGAAAGUCAUGGCUGAGAGGAUACAGAGGGUAUUUCUCGGGAGUUGUUGAGAUAUCUCUUAGACCAUGUGGAGUAUGUGGAAGCAGGACGUUCAGGAUUUUCUGCAACACAAUUUGAGCUCUAAGCAGGAAUGUUGACCAACGAGAAAAAACACAAGAGAAAAUCAAUACAGUUACUCUGUAUGUAUCGCGGUUAAUUGGUGAUAAGUGACUUUCCGCAAAUUUUCCUUUUUUAUAUAUGGAAUAUUUUCUUAGAGUAGAAAACUAUAGUAAACUUUCUAUAGUAAAUACGAUUUUUUACAUUAUUAAAGCCUUCCAAUCAUGAAAUAACAACCCUAUAGUCACAUUGACAUGUAUAAAUUAUUCAAUCAGAGAAAAUAAUCAAUUGAAGACAAAAUUUAACUUGGGCUUCCGUGUUGCUGGAAAUGAUGUCAGCAGUUAUGGCCGUGUUAUUAUUAUGAUU
Non-coding RNA from Doryrhamphus excisus (bluestripe pipefish), 4603 nucleotides. Lineage: Eukaryota; Metazoa; Chordata; Actinopteri; Syngnathiformes; Syngnathidae. The record is from RefSeq and is a predicted model, not a curated record.